This is a non-coding RNA of Asterias rubens (European starfish), 72 nucleotides long. Lineage: Eukaryota; Metazoa; Echinodermata; Asteroidea; Forcipulatida; Asteriidae. The record is from the annotation of a RefSeq genome assembly.
GGCGCGAUGGCCUAGUGGUAAGGCGCCUGUCUCGUAAACAGAAGAUCGGGGGUUCGACUCUCUCUCGUGCCU